AGAGUUGAUCAUGGCUCAGGACGAACGCUGGCGGCGUGCUUAACACAUACAAGUCGAACGAGCGAUACCGGAGAGCUUGCUCAAAGGUAAAGCGAGUGGCGGACGGGUGAGUAACGCGUGAGGAACCUGUCUUGCACAGGGGGAUAACGCACCGAAAGGUGUGCUAAUACCGCAUAAGACCACAGCACCGCAUGGUGCGGGGGUCAAAGGAGGAAUCCGGUGCAAGGUGGCCUCGCGUCCCAUUAGGCAGUUGGCGGGGUAGCGGCCCACCAAACCGACGAUGGGUAGCCGACCUGAGAGGGUGAUCGGCCACAUUGGAACUGAGACACGGUCCAAACUCCUACGGGAGGCAGCAGUGGGGAAUAUUGGGCAAUGGGCGCAAGCCUGACCCAGCAACGCCGCGUGAGGGAAGAAGGUUUUCCGGAUUGUAAACCUCUGUCCUCAAUGAAAAGUAGAAGAUGGUAAUUGAGGAGGAAGCCCCGGCUAACUACGUGCCAGCCGCAGC
RNAcentral lists this ribosomal RNA (505 nucleotides) under uncultured bacterium. RNAcentral's name for it is "bacterial SSU rRNA". It matches the Rfam family "Bacterial small subunit ribosomal RNA", at positions 8 to 518 of the family's 1533-position model. The record is from RNAcentral.